This 406-nucleotide ribosomal RNA is filed under the name uncultured bacterium. Its description in RNAcentral is "partial 16S ribosomal RNA". It matches the Rfam family "Bacterial small subunit ribosomal RNA", at positions 30 to 526 of the family's 1533-position model. The record is from RNAcentral.
AUUGAACGCUGGCGGCAGGCCUAACACAUGCAAGUCGAACGAGUGGCGGACGGGUGACUUAUGUCUGGGACACUGCCUGAUGGAUGGGGAUCACUACUGGAAACGGUAGCUAAUACCGCAUACCAUCAGAUGUGCCCAGAUGGGUGGAGCUUGUUGGUGGGGUAACGGCUCACCAAGGCGACGAUCUCUAGCUGGUCUGAGAGGAUUACCAGCAACACUGGAACGGAGAAACGGUCCAGACUCCUACGGGAGGCAGCAGUGGGGAAUAUUGCACAAUGGGCGAAAGCCUGAUACAGCCAUGCAGCGUGUAUGAAGAAGGCCUUCGGGUUGUAAAGUACUUUCAGCGGGGAGGCGUUACCCGCAGAAGAAGCACCGGCUAACUCCGUGCCAGCAGCCGCGGUAAUAC